This is a non-coding RNA of Phaeosphaeriaceae sp. PMI808, 88 nucleotides long. Lineage: Eukaryota; Fungi; Ascomycota; Dothideomycetes; Pleosporales; Phaeosphaeriaceae. The record is from the annotation of a GenBank genome assembly.
GGUCUAAUAGUGUAGUGGUUAUCACUCUGGAUUUUGAUCACCAUAGUCAAGAUUUCCAGUAACCCUAGUUCGAAUCUAGGUUAGACCU